UGAGCAAUCUGCCCUUCUCUUUGGAAUAAGCGUUGGAAACGACGUCUAAUGCCGAAUACGACCUCCUUUCGCAUGAUCGGAGGUGGAAAGCUCCGGCGGAGAAGGAUGAGCUCGCGGCCUAUCAGCUAGUUGGUGUGGGUAAUGGCCCACCAAGGCGACGACGAGUAGCCGGCCUGAGAGGGUGACCGGCCACACUGGGACUGAGACACGGCCCAGACUCCUACGGG
This 227-nucleotide ribosomal RNA is filed under the name uncultured bacterium. Its description in RNAcentral is "partial 16S ribosomal RNA". It matches the Rfam family "Bacterial small subunit ribosomal RNA", at positions 118 to 345 of the family's 1533-position model. The record is from RNAcentral.